AUUGAACGCUGGCGGCAUGCCUUACACAUGCAAAUCGAACGGUAACGGGCCUUCGGGUGCCGACGAGUGGCGCACGGGUGAGUAAUACAUCGGAACGUGCCCGAUCGUGGGGGAUAACGAGGCGAAAGCUUUGCUAAUACCGCAUACGAUCUACGGAUGAAAGCAGGGGACCGCAAGGCCUUGCGCGGACGGAGCGGCCGAUGGCAGAUUAGGUAGUUGGUGGGAUAAAAGCUUACCAAGCCGACGAUCUGUAGCUGGUCUGAGAGGAUGAUCAGCCACACUGGGACUGAGACACGGCCCAGACUCCUACGGGAGGCAGCAGUGGGGAAUUUUGGGCAAUGGGCGCAAGCCUGAUCCAGCCAUGCCGCGUGCAGGAUGAAGGCCUUCGGGUUGUAAACUGAUUUUGUACGGAACGAAAAGCCUUCUUUUAAUACAGGAGGGUCAUGACGGUACCGGAAGAAUAAGCACCGGCUAACUACGUG
RNAcentral lists this ribosomal RNA (482 nucleotides) under uncultured bacterium. RNAcentral describes it as "partial 16S ribosomal RNA". It matches the Rfam family "Bacterial small subunit ribosomal RNA", at positions 30 to 507 of the family's 1533-position model. The record is from RNAcentral.